Molecule: RNase P RNA, 431 nt
Filed under: Bacteroidaceae bacterium
Lineage: Bacteria; Pseudomonadati; Bacteroidota; Bacteroidia; Bacteroidales; Bacteroidaceae
Description: RNase P RNA component class A
Rfam family: Bacterial RNase P class A
About the family: Ribonuclease P (RNase P) is a ubiquitous endoribonuclease, found in archaea, bacteria and eukarya as well as chloroplasts and mitochondria. Its best characterised activity is the generation of mature 5'-ends of tRNAs by cleaving the 5'-leader elements of precursor-tRNAs.
Source: RNAcentral
ACAGUGGUUCGGCUUGUCGCUGGUUGUUUUCUCGCUUUAGAGAAACGACGAGAGGAAAGUCCGGGCAACAUAGGACAAUCCGCUACCUAACGGGUAGGAGUCAGUGAUGGCUGGUCAGUGUAGAAGAAAAUAACCGCCUCUUUUCCCUUGUGGAGGAGGUAAGGGUGAGAAGGUAGAGUAAGAGCCUACCAGGCGUAUGGCAACAUGCGUGCUGUGCACUCCGGAUGUUGAAAGUUCGCGUAUACCAGCGCUGUUUCUACAACCUUGUGGGCGUAGAUUCGAGAAGGCUGUCCGUCUGAGCUGGAGGGUAGAACGAUAGAGAUUGGUGGUGACGCCAAUAGUGGAUAAAUGACAAGCGGCAAUAACUUGCAUGCAAAUACUUUUAUGCAUUUUAUUGUGCACAGAACCCGGCUUAUAGAACCACUGUUUCU